Molecule: ribosomal RNA, 520 nt
Filed under: Sigalegalephrynus minangkabauensis
Lineage: Eukaryota; Metazoa; Chordata; Amphibia; Anura; Bufonidae
Description: partial 16S ribosomal RNA
Rfam family: Bacterial large subunit ribosomal RNA
Source: RNAcentral
UAUAAGAGGUCCAGCCUGCCCAGUGACUUUGUUCAACGGCCGCGGUAUUCUAACCGUGCAAAGGUAGCGUAAUCACUUGUUCUUUAAAUGCGGACUAGUAUGAAUGGCACCACGAAGGUUAUACUGUCUCCUUUUUCCAAUCAGUGAAACUAAUCUUCCCGUGAAGAAGCGGGAAUAGGACUAUAAGACGAGAAGACCCUAUGGAGCUUUAAACAACAUAGCAUUUGUCACGCAACUUAUGGUUUCUGAACACUAACUUCAUUAGACAAUAUGACUUUAAGUUUUUGGUUGGGGUGACCAUGGAGUAUAAUAGAACCUCCAUGCUGAAAGAAACUUUUUCUAAGCUAAGAACUACACAUCUAAGCAUCAACAUACUGUCAUCUAUUGACCCAAUAUAUUUGAACAACGAACCAAGUUACCCUAGGGAUAACAGCGCAAUCCACUUCAAGAGCUCCUAUCGACAAGUGGGUUUACGACCUCGAUGUUGGAUCAGGGUAUCCCAGUGGUGCAGCCGCUACUA